This 496-nucleotide ribosomal RNA is filed under the name uncultured bacterium. RNAcentral's name for it is "partial 16S ribosomal RNA". It matches the Rfam family "Bacterial small subunit ribosomal RNA", at positions 28 to 507 of the family's 1533-position model. The record is from RNAcentral.
GAUGAACGCUGGCGGCGUGCCUAAUACAUGCAAGUCGAGCGAACGGACGAGAAGCUUGCUUCUCUGAUGUUAGCGGCGGACGGGUGAGUAACACGUGGAUAACCUACCUAUAAGACUGGGAUAACUUCGGGAAACCGGAGCUAAUACCGGAUAAUAUUUUGAACCGCAUGGUUGAAAAGUGAAAGACGGUCUUGCUGUCACUUAUAGAUGGAUCCGCGCUGCAGUAGCUAGUUGGUAAGGUAACGGCUUACCAAGGCAACGAUGCAUAGCCGACCUGAAGGGGUGAUCGGCCACACUGGAACUAGGACACGGUCCAACCUCCUACGGGAGGCAGCAGUAGGAAUACUGCCGCAAGGGGCGAAGGCCGAUCGGAGCAACGCCGCGUGAGUGAGAAGGGUCUUCGGAUCGUAAAACUCUGUGAUUAGGGGAAAGCAUAUGUGUAAAAAACUGUGAACAACUUGAGGUACCCUAAUCAGAAGGCCCCGCCAACCUCGUG